GUGUGUGUGUGUGUCUGUAUGUAUGUGUGUCUCUGUAUGUAUGUGUCUGUAUGAUACAUACAGAUACAUACAGAGACACACACAUAUACACAAACAU
RNAcentral lists this microRNA precursor (97 nucleotides) under Pelobates cultripes (western spadefoot toad). The record is from RNAcentral. Lineage: Eukaryota; Metazoa; Chordata; Amphibia; Anura; Pelobatidae.